AGAAAGUGGGCAUGAUGAAUCAUGUGGUGCAGCUGCGCAGGCGAGCCUGUGACUGGUUGGUGGCGGGCAAGGUGGGAAGGGAAUAGAGUGCACAGCAGUUCAUCUUCAUCUCUUCUGCAUCCAGCAGACAUCGAAGGUAAUUGCUUGGCAUGCUUGGUCCUGCUUUUCCUUUUUUUAAUAGGCUAGUGGUUCAUGCUUCACCAUGUUCUGGUAGCGCGGCAUUCAUCCUAGCUUGCUAAUCCUUAUGGUAGUGCCGGUAGUUUCUUGCAUUAACUUGAUGGUGGUUGCUUGAAAGAGCAGAAUACAAGAGUUCAUAGGUACAAUAAUUGACAACCAAAAACAAAGGAAAAACUGAGAUGAACUUGAACGCUCCUCUACAAGCUGACCCAGAAAUUAAUUUAGUGUCUUCAUUCAAUAAAUAGCUUCAAUCUUUAGUUCAUAGGUAACAACAUGAGCAGUAAAAUAAUGCAAAGCUACGAAAAGAAAACUCAAUUGUAAAACUCAGUAGUAGCAUAGAGCUCCAAAAUAGGAACACAGGUCCAUGCUCAGUAACUUCACACUCGAGGUAAUCUUUUGUAGGUCAUUGAAGAAAACUGUGCAAAGAUAGUCGGAAAAAAGUACUCCCUCCGUCCCAAAAUUCUUGUCUUAGAUUUGGCUAAAUACGGAUGUAUCAAGUCACGUUUUAGUAUUAGAUACAUCCGUAUCUAGACAUAUCUAAGACAAGAAUUUUGGGACGGAGGGAGUAUCUCUUAAGAGCAUAACCUAACCAUAGGCUAAAGCAAAUUUCAAUUUACUGAAUCAAUAUCUCAUUAGAUAUUUCUGUCUACUAACUAUGUAGCACAAGAACAUCAUAAAUAAUUUUUCACUUGCUAAGCCAACAAACAUUUGUGUCUGCUAAACCACUGGCCUGAGUCGUGGUGCUCCCAUGCAUGGGCCAACCUAGUGAACAUAGUUUGCUACUGGUAAGUGGAACUAUUCUGGCAAAUCAUGGUUAGAUCUGCUGCUAUUCCACGGAAGCCGACUGGAAGUUUUGUGUAUUAAGUUUUAGUUCAAAUGGAGUUAACUGAUUUCUGUUAUAAGAUUUUUUUAGUUCAAUUUCUCUAUCGUUUUCCGCAUUUCGCAUGUGCUUACUGGCACGACACACCCAACCAUGAAAUUAGAUGCUUCCUUAUUAUAAAUAAGGGAUGGACACUGAAUCUGGUGACAAAAGAGGCAUAGAUAGACAGUGACCAUCAAUUCAUCUUCAGAAAAGAUUUUGACUUCCGUGGACUUGUAGAGAUUUUGACUCCCUUUGGCCUAGCUAGUAGGUACAUCUAUCAGCAGUUCAGAGUGAAGCUUAUAUUGCGUUGCUAUGAUCACCACUAUUCUAUUUUCGAGUCAAUGAUAAAUUUGGAUUGCUAAUGUAACUACUCAUGUACUUAAAUUAGAAAUGUGUCUCAUCUAUCAUAACUGAUUAUCACUAUUCGUUAGAAAUAGUACGCAACCUUUCUUUCAACAACUUUUCUUGCACAAGGUGGAUUAUAGGUACUGACCAUCUAAAAUUGUAGCUCAAGCAAAUAAUUAUUUAUGUAUACAAAAGUAAAAUAAAUCAACCACAUACCCUGAAAGAAGUGGCACAUGACAUGAACCAGUGAUUCUGGAUAAAUGAAACGAUGACUUCUCUGCUAGAAAUGGUAGCAUACACAAUACAUGUAUAAUUGCUAGUUAGAGCGUAGUGAACACAGUAACUUCUCACAGGCAAUAGCGAUAAAAAUCAUCCAAGCUAGUCACCUGCUGAUUAAUUGCUUGCACACCUCAUUGCCGCACACAAUGGUCAGUAGCAACAUGCAAACAAUCUUUUGUUCAAGAUCUUGUGAGUCAUGCACUGGCUGCCCAGUAAUGAAAUUCAAAAAUAGCAAAUGCAAAACCUUAUGUGCAGAGGAAUCAACAGCGGCUCACCUUGGCUCCUGUUGAGUGUCGAGGAGGAGAGGUGCUCACAAUGCAACAGUAAUAAUCAUAGUUGUUCAUAUCAGUAGACAAAUACCAUGAUUUUCAUCAUUCCCAGACAUGUACGUCAUUUCCUCAUCCUGUCUCGAAACUGUCAUAUAUCCAUAUCGGUCUUGCAAGAAGUUACUUAUUUUUAGAGAAAUUAACUCCACUACAAAAUUAGGAGAUACAUGGCCAUCUUCCUCAAAAAUAUGAAUAGAACUAAAUUAUGGUUCAAACGUCUACUUCUCCUCAGAUAAUCAGUAACAGUUAUUUAGCAUUAAUUAAGGAUUCGAAUGGUAAAGCAGUAAGAGGAUAGGUAAUAUUGAGGAGGUUGAUUCAACACUUCCCCAGCCAUAAAUUUCAAUGAUGCUUAAUUGGGCUGGCCUCACUGGGAAGAAAGGACAGCUAGCCAACCAGGGGUUUAGCAGGCGUGUUGAGGCUGCGACCCUGUUUGGCUUUGCGGCAGCCUAGGCAUCAUGGAAUCGCCUUCCUCGUGUGUGGAGGCAAGCUAUAAAUUGAUAAGUUAACCAACUGUGUCUAUCCUCCCAUUAAUAUAGCUUGAUUUUAAAUCUACUUCAUCAAUGACACAAUGGUAUGGAAGAUGAUUUCUACAUGUUUUCCUGUGUACUGAUUAUGAACAGAAAAUAGAUAUCCAUCCUCUAAUUAUGUACAUGCCAUGCCAGACAUGAAAUUUAAACUAAGAUGGGGCUGUUAAUCCUUCUAGAUGAUGAGAUACAAGCAUAAGAUUAAAAAAAAUGUACAUAAGCUAAAGAAAGCAUUUAGUGUGUGGCUCAUGGAAAGUGUGCAACGUGUGAACGGGAAACUGCUACAAAAACGAACUGUUGACAAUUUUUUUCACAAGGCAUCUCUCUAAGCACACAGUACUCACCUUAUAUUGUAGUUGGAACGGGGAAUAUGAGGCAAUUAGAAAUUCAGCAAUGCAGAAGCGGCCACCAAUCAAGGGAAAUCUGAAAUUGAUAAGAGUAUCAAAUAUGUAGUUAUGUAUAAAACCAAAAAGGUGCCUUCUGAGAUGUCAACUGAAAGUAACCCACUGACGUUGAGAAGAAUUUAUAUUUUAGAGUUUGAUCUUCACCCAAGAAAAGGGAAAGCUAUUGAUCUGCGUUCAGUUGACUCUGAAUUUUACCAAUUCAAUAUAUGCUCUUCGUUUCAGCUUUGGUAUCUGAUGCUGCACUUCUUUGAUAUAUAUUCAGUUGACUUUCGAAAUUACUUAUACCAGUUUAAAAACAAACAUGUACAUUGCAUCUGAUAAUCACUGAAAGACUACAGUACACCUUCUGUGAGUGCAUGCUGUGCUGAUCUUUCUUUAGGUUGAUCAGUUCACCACAAGAACGAUAUAAAUUUGUUCUUGUUCUAACUACAAAAUUGAGCUUUUUUUUGCGGGGAUUAAUUGAGCUUUUUUUUUGCGGGGAUUACAAAAUUGAGCUGCUUGGAUAGGUGAAAAAUUUAUAAAAAAAAAGGGACAGCAUACUCACAUCCCACAUCAAGCAACAAGCAAGAAAUCAAGAGCUCUCAAGCUGAGCUCCAAAUCGGCAACUUCCGUGCAGUAUUCUUCGACCAGAAGUUCAACCAUAAAUAAACAGAAGGAAGCUUGAUAAAACCUCAUGAAUGGAUGGAACCCUGGCCAUACCUCCUUCUCCACGGAACAGCCGCACAAAUUUCCAUUGCCGCUCCUCUAAGUCCUCUGAUGGGGUUUUGAUAACUAACUCCCUGCUGCUCUGUGGGAGCUUCCAUUUGACCACUACCUCUCUUUGCAAAACGUUGAACGAAUUGUUUCACAAGAUGAUGGUUAUCAGAAAAUUUUAAUUGCUCCUGAGCAAGGUAGAGUCUGGUCUCCGUUUAUUUAGAGGGCCAGCUGAAGCUUCUGUAGAUGCUGUAAGAUUAUAUGUGAUUGCUAGCUGUGUGUGUUGAUCGUUGUGUGAUGUGGAGAAGUACAUUUGUACUUGCAUAUGUUCUAUGAUGAACUUGGAACAUGUCAUAUGUUAGAUACAUGUUGGAAACAAUCACAUGAUGUGUUUUGAAUGUGAAUUACAUUAUGUGCUAUGUUUGCUUGUAAUUUUGUUCUAAUAAUUCUAGUAACAUGGCACUAAUUUUAGGCUUGGUUAAACAUGUUUAGAUCCCCAGUCACACACGGUUUUGGAAGUGUGUGCGAUGGCAUCCCCAGUCGCCAACCUAUCUGAGCACACAAUUUUGAAUUCUGAUUGUGUGUGGCGGACCCUACUUAUUGACAUAGUUUUUGUGUUCUAACUGUGUGUGCGAUUGACCCCUCGUAUCACACACAGAUUUGGGAAGUCUGUGCGAAAAUGGGGUUCUUUAUCUUUCCUAUAUUUAGAAUUAUUAUUAUUAUUGUAAUUUACUUUUAGAUUUGGGUAGUUUCUGCAACUAUUAUAUCUAUUUGCACAAAUACCUUGACGCUUUCCAAUCGUUAAUACAUAAAGCCUGAUAAGCAUGUCUUGGGUUGGUACGCAAAUAGGCCCCCUUAAGCACAUGGUUUCAAAAAUCGUGUGCGAUGGCCUCUGACUGGUGUAACUUUCAAGCGGGUCAUCGCACAUGUGUGUCAAACAGCCCACAUGCUAAACCAUGCUGCACCCAUCGCAUCAGACUCGACGCCUUUACCCGAUGGAACAAACACCAGGCCCCACCACCAAUGCGCAGGGUGGCACACGCAAGGCGAGGACAGCGAGUGGUAGAGGAGGUAGCCCCGGGCUCGCCUUCGACCCACACGACAGGGACCAUUGAGUGGCUGGCUCCGCGGCUUAUUCACUGUUGUCAUUCGUCGGGUUGGAUUGUGCCAGUCACCUCUACUACUCUGUUUGUUGGUUUGGAUUUGGGUUUUGGCCACUUUUUGGUGGGGAGGUUGGUUCUCGGUUUGUUCGGGUCAGAGCCCUGUUUCUCGGGUCGUCCGGUUUGGUGUUACCUUAGUUGACAUGCGGUCAUGUGAUGCUCGUUAAUGGUCUACCGCAACGAUGUAAAAUAAAAGAACGUGAGCAUAGUCAUUGGCAUUGUAUUUUGCAGAUAAACCCAAAAUAGACUCCUUCACAUGGUACAUCUGUUCCUUUGGUUGCAUUUCUUUGUUACAAUUGUUCUUUGCCAAGGGCACAACGGGUCAUCCAGUUGUAAUAAAGACCGGAGCUGUGUUGUAAUACUUAUAUGAUAUGUGAAUAUCUUGGUAUCAUGUGGUGUGCUCCAUCACUGAACUCGAUCUUCCUUCUUGCAAGGCCGAAACCACCUUGGAGUUACCGAAUUCCACCUCUAGCUUUACAUCCGACUGUUGCAGCCAAGUUUAGCCCAAAUCUAACAGUUGUCGCCUGUGUGGUGAAAGCAUGAAAACAGAAGCUCAUCGUCUCAUACUCUCAUUGGUCGCCGCUAUAAACUUCCUGUUAUGAUCACGGCGUGAGUGACAAUCUGAAUUCCCCCCUCUCUUGAUUUUUUUCCUUUCAUUUUUUUGAGGGGUAAACCAAGUUCUUAUUCAUCAAAAAACCACACGGAGUUUUCCAGUUUUAUAAAUGCUGGCGUGAAUAAUUUGAUGGGGCCUAUUGGGCCACAUAGCCCCGAGUUCUCUUGGGCUGCAGCCAUGACAACACUUUGGACCGAUUCUGAAGUAUAGCAAGGCCCGUGUUCCAAUCCUUAUAAAACAAAGUUACUCGUGUAACCCUAAGGCCUUCUCUCUGCCCUGCCUUUGGAAGCGAGGAGCCAAGCAGAUCUCCCCGAGUCGCUCGUUGGUGCAGGUCCCGAUGGCGAGCUCGAGUUCUUUGGAGCAGGAGGUGAAGCUGGUUGAUCCGCAGGUUCAGAAAAACGCACCCGGCGAGUCAGCCGAAAUAUCUGCAGAGUCGAAGGGGCUGAAGAAGAAGAAGAAGAAGAAGAAGAAGAUCUCGCGUCAGGUGGCAGAGUGCGAUGUGAAACGUGUCCUCUCCUACAAACCGGACAGCAUGGAUAUGGAGGUGCCUGAGAUUGCUUUCAGGAAAGACCCUGUGCUGGCUGCGAGCUUGUAUGACAUGUUGGCCGACAUAGCCCUGUUCGACGACUGUGUUAACCAGGAGAUGCUGGAUUUACAGAAAGACUACAGGCAACAGCUGAAAGCCAAGGGCGUAGUAACCUAUGAGGUCGAGGUCGACGAGGACUACGACCAAGAUAAAGACUACGUUCCCUUGCAUCCAGGAGGGCGCAGGAGACAGCGCCCUGGCGUCGUGAAAAAUCAUCAAGGACAGACAAGGAAGCUGAACUAAACGAAACUGCCAUGUUUCAGUUACCACUUCCAAUUCUAUGAUCAUCUGAGAGCCAUGACUUGUCUCCAAUUCCAAUUGUCCUAUUUUUGCAAUUUAAUAUCAACAAGAAAUAUAUUGUCCUUGCCCUUUUUGCCCUGUGGGCUAUGCAAAUCAAAUAGAACCAAUACUCAUUUUGUUUCUUGUA
Triticum urartu is the source of this 6396-nucleotide non-coding RNA. Lineage: Eukaryota; Viridiplantae; Streptophyta; Magnoliopsida; Poales; Poaceae. The record is from RefSeq and is a predicted model, not a curated record.